GGUGAGCACCCUAUUGCCCUGAUUCUGUUGAUUGGGCCAAAGGGUGAGGCCCCCACAGGGCUUGAGCGCACCCCCUGCUGGAGAGGUGAGAUAAGUCAUUCCUACUGUGAGUCUGCAACUCCACCCAGCUCUUCUACCCUGCCCUGUGGACAGACAGUGGCGGGGCUUUUCUCAUCCUCUUGUUAGCUGAGCAAGUGCUCAAUGGUGUUUGCCAGGAAGAAGGGGUCCUGGGCUUGGACAGGUUGAUGGAACCAUAGUCAUCCCUCUGAGUGCUAGUUAAAAACUAAAAGUGACUGCUGAUACUGACCAACUUAAAAAAUUUCACCCUUCAAGCAGUGCUUUGGAAAAGUCAGCUUUGGAUUUUUCUCAGUUAAGCUGCAAAGUAAGGUGCUGUAGGAUAAUAUUUUACCAUCUCUCUUGUCUCCAAACCUCCCCCUACUUCUUUCUCCUUUACCUCUCAUCAUCUGCUUUCCUUCCUUCCCCAUUUCCUUUUCCUUCCUAAAGGAAACCUUGUCCUUGGCCUUUUGUCUUUGGCUUGUCAAGGCCUGGAUGCAAAGUUGCUGCUCUCUACUUCCCCCUGCUGGUGGUGAGGGGGAAAAGCAAGCCCCUCUCGGACACGAGGAAGCCGCGUGUAAGUCGCUAGUGUCCCCUUGAAGAAGGAGCUGUGGGGAAGGAAGUGGUAGGAGAGCUUGUAUAACAACGUGGCGUUCACCUGUUCCUGUAGGCUUUCUUCAAAGCCUGGAAAAUCAAGAAGGUGCCUGGGCGCAGAGUAAUGAGAAGACAUCAUCUGCCCUGAAGGAGCUCACCUUGACUCACUUGGUCCAGCGACAUCUGAUUACCCACAAACUGUAUUCAGUGGAAAAUACUUGGAAAUCAAUUUUGCAGAAGAGACCUUUACCUGUUGACUUCAGUGAUGACUCAACUGGUGUUGAAAUUAUCUCUACCUCAGGGUUUGAAGCAGGUUAGUGGCACUCUUCAGACAAGAAGGAAGAUGAGAGGUGAAACUAUCAUCUUAUCAUGAGCCCCAUGGUCUGCUUGCUAAGCCCCUUGGACACAGAGACAGAUAUUCAGAAGAGUGGUGGCCUUAUUGUCCAAGAGUCGCAUGAUUAUGAUGAGGCCACUGGAGUCAAGUAACUCAUUGAACCUUAGUAAAUUUGGACACUUGUUUAUCCAUCAUGUAGAUUACUGGGGUUGGGAUGGGUCCUUUCAAUAGUGGGUCAAUAUUGUAGAUUAUGUGGAUCCAUUUAUUGACUUGUAUUGAGUAUUCUCUGGACAUACAUUUAUUAAUUCAAAAUUAAUUUCUUACAUUUUGCUAGGUGCUAAAGAUUCACAAAUGGAAGGUAUAAUUCUUGUCUUCUAGAUGCUUACUGUUGAGUCUGGCUCCAUAGCACUGUGUUUAGCUAUUAUGAGCACACAGGGGACGUGUAAGCUGUGGUUCCUGCCCUCAGCCUACAUUGAAUCCAGAGGAACCAAAGGAACACAAUCCCUAAGUUAGAAAGGUUCUCAGAGGACAGAAGUGUCUAUGUCAUUUUCAGUCUUGUUUCUUCAGCACAUGCCUCCUACUCAGCACAGACUGAGCCUCAUACAUGAUCACUGAGGGGCUCUCGGCCAGCCUUCCACUCAACUCAGAGCCUCCCUUCAGUGUCUGGUGUCUGGUUGAGGAUGUUCACAUAUAGGAAUCUCUCCAUCAUCCUGGUAGCCUAUUCUAUUGUUGAAUCACUCUAGUAACUAGGAAGUUACUAGUUUCCUUCAUAUCAAGUCAACACCAGCCUACAUCGCAACCUCUCCAAUGGAUUCAGAUUCUCCUUUAAGAACUACACAGACUAAAUCAAUUUCCUGCUCUAUAAGUAGGGCUUUAGGUAUUUAGAGACAUCCAUGUUGUAUCCUGCCACCCUUAUCUGACUUCUAUCAUUUCUAUUCCUUCAGUUACUUCUCAGGUAACUUAGUUUUGAGGCCACCUAAUCAUCUUAUUCAAUAGGCAAGACUGGCACCAAUGGUUAAAAAAUAAGACAAAUCAUUUUGUAAUUAGGCGUCAAGUGGAUUACAUAGCUGUCUGAGGGCACAUGCUCUUGUGCAUGCACCCAUGCGCACAGUGAAGGACAAUUCAAUAAUCGCUAGGAGAGGAGGCAGGCCACUUGCUACCUGUAGAACAGGGGGAUUUCUCCUGGUUUCCAGAGAUUUAUCUGGACCCUUAAAAGAAUUAACAGUUAAACCAACCAACAAAAAGGUCAUUCUUCUCCAUAGAUUGCCUUGAUUAGGCUUCUUGAAUGUUGAGAGGGAAAAUAUAUGAGGCUAGUGGAAGACCUGUAAGAGGGUACCAAGAAUUCAUUCUGCUUGGAUUCAUCAAGGCUCUCAGUGGGUAGCAUUUCUUCACUGCUUGCUGUCUGAUCUCUAGAAAACACCUAA
Long non-coding RNA from Hipposideros armiger (great roundleaf bat), 2406 nucleotides. RefSeq lists it as uncharacterized. The record is from RefSeq and is a predicted model, not a curated record. The transcript has 4 exons. Lineage: Eukaryota; Metazoa; Chordata; Mammalia; Chiroptera; Hipposideridae.